RNA transcript from Odobenus rosmarus divergens (Pacific walrus), 523 nucleotides. It is a transcript of the gene named calmodulin-like, with no coding region annotated. The record is from RefSeq and is a predicted model, not a curated record. NCBI's taxonomy places the organism in Eukaryota, Metazoa, Chordata, Mammalia, Carnivora, Odobenidae. The transcript has a single exon.
GCUGAUUAGCUGACCGAAGAACAGAUUGCUGAGUUCAAGGAAGCUUUCUCCCUAUUUGACAAAGAUGGCGAUGGAACCAUCACAAUAAAGGAACUUGGAACUAUCAUGAGGUCACUGGGUCAGAACCCAACAGAAGCCGAGUUGCAGGAUAUUGAUCAAUGAGGUGAAUGCUGAUGGAAAUGGCACCAUUGACUUCCCAGAAUUUUUUACUAUGAUGGCUAGAAAAAUGAAAGAUACAGACAGUGAAGAAGAAAUUCGCGAGGCAUUCCGAGUCUUUGACAAGGAUGGCAACGGUUACAUCAGCGCGGCGGAGCUACAUCAUGUCGUGACCAACUUAGGAGAAAAACUAACAGAUGAAGAAGUAGAUGAAAUGAUCAGAGAAGCAGAUAUUGAUGGAGAUGGGCAAAUCAACUAUGAAGAAUUCGUAGAUGAUGACUGCAAAAUGAAGGCCUACUUUCAACUCCUUUCCCCCCUUCUAGAAGAAUCAAAUUGAAUCUUUUACUUACCUCUUGCAAAAAAAAAA